GGAGGGCUAUCGAAGAGGUCAUAACGAGAACGACUCGAAAUCGUUUGGCCGGUGUUGAGCCGACCCGUGGGUUCGAAUCCCACGCCCUCCGCCA
Molecule: transfer RNA, 94 nt
Filed under: Oscillibacter sp.
Lineage: Bacteria; Bacillati; Bacillota; Clostridia; Eubacteriales; Oscillospiraceae
Also listed under: 4 other names
Description: tRNA-Ser
Rfam family: tRNA
About the family: Transfer RNA (tRNA) molecules are approximately 80 nucleotides in length.
Source: RNAcentral